Molecule: long non-coding RNA, 4955 nt
Organism: Oreochromis aureus
Lineage: Eukaryota; Metazoa; Chordata; Actinopteri; Cichliformes; Cichlidae
Source: Ensembl
CUGAGCUCUUGGUGUCUGAGUGUCUUCUUUGACAGCAUGAACACUACUUUGGAAGAGAUAUGAGCUGGUGGAGUUGUGAUUCUGACUCCUGCCAUUGUCGCUGGAAUGGGGUUCACUUCAGCUGGAAUAGUAGCAGGCUCCAUCGCUGCCAAACUGAUGUCACUUUUUGCAGUCUUUGGUGGAGGUGGAGUUGUAGCAGGAGGUCUCAUAGCAACCUUGCAGUCCUGGGGUGCAGCAGGUCUGUCAUGGGCUGCCACUUUAUUGUUUGGCAGUGUUGGUGGAGCAGCUGCUUGGUUGAUCUCAACUGUGUGUAAUGUGACUGUGAAAUAUGAAGAGUAACACAUUGAAUAAACACAAACUGACCUACAAAUGAUUCCUCCUGUGACAAAUUAGUCUGACUCAAUAGCCUGAAUUAAGCUUUAUGUUUUAUGUACAAAGGACAGAUAGUCAGAUUAAAGCAUGAUUUGAGAACUGAGUUACAAAAAUGAUUGCUGAUGAUUUUUACCCACCAUUUUCAAAUAAAAUAUAAUUGAAGAGGAUGAAGAUGCUUUAUCUGAUCCAAAGACUGAUAUGAUGCUUUUGUUCUCUUCACAUAUUUAAUGUAAAAAUGAAAACACAUGCAAAUUAAAAGUAUAGUUGUUUUUAUUGUAAACAUAAUGCAUCUAACUGGGCCAUAUUCUUUUUGGCCCAAAGAUUUUAUCAUACAUGAAAUACAUUAGUGACACAGAUUAAAUGCCAGUAAUUCAUUUACAAUAGUUUAAAUACUGGAAAUCAUUUUUGGCAGAUCAUUAAUGUGUGUAUCAUGUUUGAGAUCAUAUGACAAGCAUAAUAUGUCAGCCUUCUGACCGAAUUAUGUAAAGGAUGGGCCCAUGUCGCUUUUUCGGGCUAUAACCGGCCGGGCCCCAUAGCCUAAGCCCCGGCCACCAGAUGCUUGCCCGGGAACCCUCCCUGGGCCUCCGGAGUGGGGUGAACUGUUCCCUUGACUGUAAACUGAUAAGGGUGUUUUGAAUCGCCCUUUGUCUGGUCCCUCACCCAGGACCAAUUUGCCAUGGGAGUCUUUACCAGGGGGACAACAUAGCCCCUAGGAUCCAUGGGGAAAACAAACCCCUCCACCUCAAUAAGGUAGCGAUUCAUAGAGGGUGAGUUAACUUGUUUCUGAGUAAGAACAUUGUGAAGUUAAGCCGUCAACGAUGAUGUGUUAAUGGCUAUCCCAGCUGUUGCUCAGCCAUGUGGUUGUACAUGGGCAAUUGUGAAGAGUGAACUUUCUAUUAUAUUUUGUUUGCUUCUUGAAAAGCUGUAGAGUGUGUGUUUGUGCAUCAACCCUAGCUGUUUACUGUGAAGUGAAUACACUAAAGAAAAGAGGUUAUGUUUUUUUGUAGUUGUGCUACGAUGCCGCACUGUAACUUUAGGAGAGCCAAUUUGUUGUUUACUUUGGUAAGAAAUGAUCAUUAUCAGUAUUUUGGGGAUAUUUUGUGAUUCUUUGUGUUCACUGGAAAGGGAAAGGGAAAAUGCAAAUUUGCAAAUCUCAAUUUGCUUUUUGAGAUCAUCUCUACAUCAUAUAAGCUCACAAUUCUAUCAUUACAGAAAACUUAACAUCUUAACAUUUCCAGCUGAGCUGUGGUAAGAUGUUUUGUUUUCUUUCUUGUGUUUCAGUGACAGCUGUAGCAAUCAGUCGGGGCAGGUAACAAACUUGUUUGCUUAUUUAUUUUUAUCACUGAACCUCACUCACGGGAGAAGUCAUAAAUAUCAUACAUUUAUGUAUUUUGAAGCAUCCUGAUGAUCAGUAAUGUUGUAAUCUUCACUCUAUACCUCCAGUCCUUUUGUCACCCAGCUGAAAAGAAACACUGAAGUCACAAACAUCUGUAAUGCUUUUAUUUAAAAAGAACCUCUGCGCAGAUGGAGAUCAUGCAACCGACGAGCAGUCCCGCAGAUCCUUACAUUUAUACUUGGUGGCCGCACCCCGAUUGGUCAUUUCAUGGUUAUCAAAACCAAACCAAAUUUGGCCCAAGGUGGGAUUGUGAAAUGAGGCGAACAGAGGAUCGGUCUUAUAGAAUUUAAAGGACUGAAGUUGGAUUUCUAAGAAGUGCAAGUGUUCAGAGGGUGACGCCUCCACUUCAACACGGACGUGUGUUGGAGACCCACGGCGACGGGACAGUUCGGUUGGUUACCGAGAAGACUGGGGACUUUCGUUAAUAACUAGUGGUCAAGGACCACUUUUUCGUCUGGGACGAUAUAUGCACUUGUUUGGCCGAGAAAGCUGGGCUUGGAUGUUGGACGCUUCUAAAAAUAAAAUAGGUUUUGUAGAAAUCGGGCCAAUCACAGUUUGGAACUGAUACUGGUUAACUGGUUAGAGAAAAAGGCUGGACCUUGGCGUUGGACGCUUGUAAAGUUGUCGAAAUUGUUUAGGGAAAACUGGUACCAGUACAGGAUGAUGAAAAGUGUGUCAUGGAAACAUUGUAUAAUGUAUCUUGGCAUUUGGUGUUUUGUUAUACGGUUUAGGGCCUGGAUGGCUUGAGGAUAGAAGCUCCUCUUGAGUCUCUGUGUCCUUGCCCAGAUGAUGCGGAACCUUCUACCAGAUUGUAGAAGUUGGAACAGUUUGUUGCCAGGAUGGGACGGGUCCUUCAGUAUCUGCGUUGCUCUAGUCCGGCAUCUCCUGGUGUAGGUGUCCUGAAGCGGGGGGAGAGCAAUCCUGCAGCAGCGUUCUGCUGUACGGAUCACUCUCUGGAGAGCUUCUUGGUCCUUCACACAGCUGUUCCCAAACCACGAUGUCAUGUUCUGUGUGAGGAUGCUCUCCACAGCGCCUGUAUAGAAGAUCCUGAGGAUCUUUGGAGAGACCCUGAACUUCCUCAGUUGUCGUAGGUGAUACAGGCGCUGCCUAGCCUUUUUGGUCUGGACCUGAAUGUGGGCAGCCCAUGUCAGGUCUGAGGAGAUGUGGACGCCAAGAUACUUAAAGGACUGCACCCUCUCCACUGGAGCUCCAUUAAUGAUAAUGGGCUUGUAGUCUCUGUGCUGACUCCUUCUGAAGUCCACCACCAGCUCCUUGGUCUUGCCGACGUUCAGCUGGAGGUGGUUGUCCUGGCACCAUGAUGCCAGAUUCUUCACUUCGUCCAUGUAGGCCGCCUCAUCACUGUUGGAGAUGGCACCCAACACCACUGUGUCGUCAGCAAACUUCACAAUGGUGUUGGAGCCGUGGGUGGCCACACAGUCUGAAGUGUAGAGGGAGUAGAGCAGUGGCGAGAGGACACACCCCUGUGGUGCUCCUGUGUUGGUGGUGAUGCUGUCGGAGACACACCUACCCGCCCUCACCACCUGAGUUCUGCCAGUGAGGAAGUCCAACACCCACGCACACAGACGGCUGUUGAGUCCCAGAUCCCUCAGCUUUGUGAACAGUCUGCUGGGCACUAUUGUGUUAAACCAUUGACUGUAGAAAACAUGGACGACGCGACAGCUCCCCAAAAAUGAAGCCAAAACGUCUCUAUCGCCCCCUGGUGUCUGGCUGCAGUAUAGGUCAUAAACCCCGCCUCCUCCAUGUUAGCGGAUGGGACUGGGGUCAGACUAAAAUAAAUUAAUUCUCCUUAGAUAAUUUUUUUCCAAAGAUUCUUUCUUUUGUUAUCAAUAGUUCUCAUCAUGCUGAUUGAUGUCCAAGAGGUCUCCUUUCCCAUAAGUUUGAUUCUAAUUCCUACCGCGGUGAUGUUAAAUUGGGGUGAAACGUCAUCAUAACAGCUUUGACUGUCAGCUGCAGUCACGGAGAAACUUGCGUAUCUCUGUUCGCGAAUAGCAGAUAGAGCGUAGGCUCUGAGAGGACGCCCAGCGUUUACGCUACGAAAACACGACCGAGUGUUUUAACCUGACAGCCUGAGGUGUUCUUCAGAAAACUGGACUACCCGACAGAAGGACCCGAGGCCCCGCUGCACUUUUUCGGAGCUGCCCCCAGAUUCAGACCUCAGCACCACCCAGUGACAGCAGACAGAUCAUCCAACAUGUUCACAUGUUAACUGUAAAAUGAACUGAUGAAAACAGUGCAAAGGUUAAAGUACCACACGUACUAUAGUGAAAGCUGCAGCUUUAUUGAUAAAGUUAAAGACAAAAAAACAAAAGGAUUAAUCUCUCAUGUAACUGUGUCACUAUACAUCAGUAUUAACAGGACCUCAGUUUGGUGUUUCAUAAAGCUGCUGAUCUCAGACCUGCACAGCUUCCGUUUUAAACACUUGAUGUACUCAGCUGCAUGAAGAGCAUAUGAAAUUUUCUCUAACACAAUUAAAUAAAACCUGAUGAAGGUCGAAGGUCAAAGGUCGUCACUUGUAUGUUGAACUACAAACUUGUCAUCUGGAAUUUUUUCAGUUUUUUUACACAUAGUGUGUUAUUUACCAUAAAGUGAUUCAGAGUUAUUCAUACCAGAGUAACCAGAGAGGAUCAUAUAUUUUUAAAUAUAUAACUUUCUACAGGACUGAAUAUAAUAUCUUUAUGUAAAAGUCCGGAGCCUCUGGGGAGUAUCUUGAGUAUUUAUAACAUUACACAAACCAAAGGUCUCCAUCACAGUGUUCAUGAAAUGCUGGGUUUAUCCAUCUCCUGGGGCGGGCCUACGGAGGAGUGCUGAAGAUUUCCCUGUGAGGGAGCUGCUGGUGAAGAUCAUGAGUCCUGCUUGAUCAAUGCGAUGAGCUUCAGUCUUCCUGGUGUUUCUUAAAUGAUGCCUCUUACAGCGGGUCAACAGAACUUAUGGCACAGGACAUCUGUGAUGAAAGAAAGGGAAGAAGUUUCUCCAAACCUCUGGACCCAGGAAACCCAGCUUGGUCCUGAUGGUCUCCCUCACUAGUUUCUCUCCAGGGUGAAUGUAGCUGUUGAUACAAUAUGGACUCUAUUAUUAAAUGAAAAGAACAAAUUAGACUACACUACUGAAACGUUCUGCUGAUGUUUUUAAAGUCUCCAUGUUACCAGGCUGUAGAGGGCUCUGAAGA